Molecule: ribosomal RNA, 499 nt
Filed under: uncultured Paraglomus
Lineage: Eukaryota; Fungi; Glomeromycota; Glomeromycetes; Paraglomerales; Paraglomeraceae
Description: SSU rRNA
Rfam family: Eukaryotic small subunit ribosomal RNA
Source: RNAcentral
AGCAGCCGCGGUAAUUCCAGCUCCAAUAGCGUAUAUUAAAGUUGUUGUGGUUAAAAAGCUCGUAGUUGAACCUUGGGCCUGGCUGGCCGGUCCGCCUCACUGCGUGUACUGGUCCGGCCGGGCCUUUCCCUCUGUGGAACCCCAUGCCCUUCACUGGGUGUGGUGGGGAAACAGGACUUUUACUGUGAAAAAAUUAGAGUGCUCCAGGCAGGCCUAUGCUCGAAUACAUUAGCAUGGAAUAAUAGAAUAGGACGUGUGGUUCUAUUUUGUUGGUUUCUAGGACCGCCGUAAUGAUUAAUAGGGACAGUCGGGGGCAUCAGUAUUCAAUUGUCAGAGGUGAAAUUCUUGGAUUUAUUGAAGACUAACUACUGCGAAAGCAUUUGCCAAGGAUGUUUUCAUUAAUCAGGAACGAAAGUUAGGGGAUCGAAGACGAUCAGAUACCGUCGUAGUCUUAACCAUAAACUAUGCCGACUAGGGAUCGGACGGUGUUAUUUUUGAC